AUGCAGGAGAUGGUACAGUGAUGACUUUAAUGCAGUAGAUGACAGUGAUGAUGCAGGAGGUGGUACAGUGAUGACUUUAAUGCGGUAGAUGACAGUGAUGAUGCAGGAGAUGGUACAGUGAUGACUUUAAUGCAGUAGAUGACAGUGAUGAUGCAGGAGAUGGUACAGUGGUGACUUUAAUGCGGUAGAUGACAGUGAUGAUGCAGGAGGUGGUACAGUGAUGACUUUAAUGCGGUAGAUGACAGUGAUGAUGCAGGAGGUGGUACAGUGAUGACUUUAAUGCGGUAGAUGACAGUGAUGAUGCAGGAGGUGGUACAGUGAUGACUUUAAUGCGGUAGAUGACAGUGAUGAUGCAGGAGGUGGUACAGUGAUGACUUUAAUGCGGUAGAUGACAGUGAUGAUGCAGGAGGUGGUACAGUGAUGACUUUAAUGCGGUAGAUGACAGUGAUGAUGCAGGAGAUGGUACAGUGAUGACUUUAAUGCGGUAGAUGACAGUGAUGAUGCAGGAGGUGGUACAGUGAUGACUUUAAUGCGGUAGAUGACAGUGAUGAUGCAGGAGAUGGUACAGUGAUGACUUUAAUGCGGUAGAUGACAGUGAUGAUGCAGGAGAUAGUACAGUGAUGACUUUAAUGCGGUAGAUGACAGUGAUGAUGCAGGAGAUAGUACAGUGAUGACUUUAAUGCAGUAGGUGACAGUGAUGAUGCAGGAGAUGGUACAGUGAUGACUUUAAUGCAGUAGAUGACAGUGAUGAUGCAGGAGAUGGUACAGUGAUGACUUUAAUGCAGUAGAUGACAGUGAUGAUGCAGGAGAUGGUACAGUGAUGACUUUAAUGCAGUAGAUGACAGUGAUGAUGCAGGAGAUGGUACAGUGAUGACUUUAAUGCAGUAGAUGACAGUGAUGAUACAGGAGAUGGUACUGUGAUGACUCUAGGUGUUUUUGACUACAUGUUGGUGACUCUAGAUGCACUGGAUGCUAUAGUGAACCUCUAAAAAAAAAUACCCGUAGAAAAGGCACAUUAUGAGCACUGUGCACACAAGUAAAUACACACACACACACACACACACACACACACACACACACACACA
Molecule: long non-coding RNA, 1085 nt
Organism: Eriocheir sinensis (Chinese mitten crab)
Lineage: Eukaryota; Metazoa; Arthropoda; Malacostraca; Decapoda; Varunidae
Exons: 4
Source: RefSeq, a predicted model, not a curated record